RNAcentral lists this ribosomal RNA (468 nucleotides) under uncultured bacterium. Its description in RNAcentral is "partial 16S ribosomal RNA". It matches the Rfam family "Bacterial small subunit ribosomal RNA", at positions 28 to 507 of the family's 1533-position model. The record is from RNAcentral.
GACGAACGCUGGCGGCGUGCUUAACACAUGCAAGUCGAACGGAAAGGCCCUGCGUUUGUGGGGUGCUCGAUUGGCGAACGGGUGAGUAACACGUGAGUAACCUGCCCUUGACUUUGGGAUAACUUCAGGAAACUGGGGCUAAUACCGGAUAGGAUCUCCUGCUGCAUGGUGGGGGUUGGAAAGUUUCGGCGGUUGGGGAUGGACUCGCGGCUUAUCAGCUUGUUGGUGGGGUAGUGGCUUACCAAGGCUUUGACGGGUAGCCGGCCUGAGAGGGUGACCGGCCACAUUGGGACUGAGAGACGGCCUAGUCUCCUACGGGAGGCAGCAGUGGGGAAUCUUGCACAAUGAGCGGAAGCCUGAUGCAGCAACGCCGCGUGCGGGAUGACGGCCUUCGGGUUGUAAACCGCUUUCGCAUGUGACGAAGCGUGAGUGACGGUAAUGAGUAAAGAAGCACCGGCUAACUACGUG